AACAGAGGAUAUGCGGCUGAUUCUGAGUGACAGCAGUUUCUAUCAGUCUCAGAUGAUCAGAGCCAGAUACCUGCUCUACCCUGGCUGGAUUAAAGUCAUCCCUCAGCAGCAGCCCUUUCACAGGAAACAUCUAUCACAUUAGUGGGAAAGUGUUUUUCUCUGACCGUGACAGGUUGUGGGAUGUGAGCUGUAACUCCAUCAGUGAGAGUGUGACUGUGGCCCUUGAUCAGGUCUCAACCCAUAGACCCCAAAUCGCACAAACUAGUUACCUGGUGAUCCAUGGGGUAGGACUCACCCAGAACAGCUUGAAGGACUGGCUCAGACAGUGUGCUAAACAGAUGAAGAGACACGGAGCCACUCCCUUCUGGUUACUUCUAUAACGGCCAUCAGUUUGUCAGUUUCUUUGGAGACAAGCAGAACUUCCAUCCUUUAAUGGACCAGUUUGUAGAGGAAUAUCUGCAGGAGGCCAAUAAGGAGAUUGAGCGCUUUAACAGUGAAGUGGACCUGUAUGCUCCCAGGGAUCUCUUUGACUAGAGUUCUUCCUCUGGUCCUGUUCACACCAGGAUGGGGUUUCACUUCAAGAUAAAUGAUUUCUCCAAUCAGCUGUUCACUCUACUGUUCAUGCAGUGUUAAGGGAAUAGUAAGACGGGAGGGAGGGGUUGGCCACUUCAUAAAUCCACACUAUAACUUCAGGGAACCACUGCAAGUGAAGAUGAUGAGAGACCUUCACCCAGCUCACUACCACUCUGUACUAUUCCCUGAGGGACAUUCCUUCUGUAAAUAGCACAUUUAGCAUACAAUGGGGAGAAACAGAGUGCAUAUUAAGAUGUGGCAUGAGCUCAUCCAUCCAUUAU
Molecule: long non-coding RNA, 854 nt
Organism: Neoarius graeffei (lesser salmon catfish)
Lineage: Eukaryota; Metazoa; Chordata; Actinopteri; Siluriformes; Ariidae
Exons: 5
Source: RefSeq, a predicted model, not a curated record